UACGUAGGUGGCAGGCGUUGUCCGGAUUUAUUGGGUUUAAAGGGUGCGUAGGCGGUCUAUUAAGUCAGCGGUGAAAUACUCCAGCUUAACUGGAGGGGUGCCAUUGAUACUGAUGGACUUGAGUCAAGUCGAGGUAGGCGGAAUUGACGGUGUAGCGGUGAAAUGCUUAGAUAUCGUCAAGAACACCAAUAGUGAAGACAGCUUACUGGGCUUAAACUGACGCUGAGGCACGAAAGUGUGGGGAUCAAACAGG
RNAcentral lists this ribosomal RNA (253 nucleotides) under uncultured bacterium. Its description in RNAcentral is "partial 16S ribosomal RNA". It matches the Rfam family "Bacterial small subunit ribosomal RNA", at positions 524 to 776 of the family's 1533-position model. The record is from RNAcentral.